GGGGCUGUAGCUCAGCUGGGAGAGCGUCUGGCUGGCAGCCAGAAGGCCACGGGUUCGAGUCCCGUCAGCUCCA
This 73-nucleotide transfer RNA is filed under the name Actinomycetota bacterium. RNAcentral's name for it is "tRNA-Ala". It matches the Rfam family "tRNA". Rfam says of the family: Transfer RNA (tRNA) molecules are approximately 80 nucleotides in length. Their secondary structure includes four short double-helical elements and three loops (D, anti-codon, and T loops). The record is from RNAcentral. Lineage: Bacteria; Bacillati; Actinomycetota.